UUAAGUUCAGCGGGUAUCCCUACCUGAUCCGAGGUCAACCAGAAGAAGAAGUUGGUUGAGACGAAGCCGGGGGAGCAUUCAGACGCGUGCUAAGAAGCUCGCUGCAUCCAGGGUCCCGCGGACUCUGCCAUUGUCAUUCGGAUCCACCGUCGAAGCGACGGUGAGACCCAACAUCAAGCCGAGCUUGAGGGUUGAUAAUG
This 200-nucleotide unclassified non-coding RNA is filed under the name Verrucaria sp. Its description in RNAcentral is "partial internal transcribed spacer 2". Lineage: Eukaryota; Fungi; Ascomycota; Eurotiomycetes; Verrucariales; Verrucariaceae. The record is from RNAcentral.